UGAGGACCUACCAAGAUAACGGUAGCUUGA
Molecule: non-coding RNA, 30 nt
Filed under: Mus musculus (house mouse)
Lineage: Eukaryota; Metazoa; Chordata; Mammalia; Rodentia; Muridae
Source: RNAcentral